RNAcentral lists this ribosomal RNA (478 nucleotides) under uncultured bacterium. RNAcentral describes it as "partial 16S ribosomal RNA". It matches the Rfam family "Bacterial small subunit ribosomal RNA", at positions 28 to 523 of the family's 1533-position model. The record is from RNAcentral.
GACGAACGCUGGCGGCGUGCUUAACACAUGCAAGUCGAACGGUAAGGCCCUUCGGGGUACACGAGUGGCGAACGGGUGAGUAACACGUGGGUGAUCUGCCCUGCACUUCGGGAUAAGCCUGGGAAACUGGGUCUAAUACCGGAUAGGACUCCUGGCUUCAUGGUGGGGGGUGGAAAGCUUUUGCGGUGUGGGAUGGGCCCGCGGCCUAUCAGGUUGUUGGUGGGGUAAUGGCCUACCAAGGCGACGACGGGUAGACGGCCUGAGAGGGUGACCGGUCACACUGGGACUGAGAUACGGCCCAGACUCCUACGGGAGGCAGCAGUGGGGAAUAUGGCACAAUGGGCGCAAGCCUGAUGCAGCGACGCCGCGUGAGGGAUGACGGCCUUCGGGUUGUAAACCUCUUUCAGCUAUGACGAAGCGCAAGUGACGGUAGUAGCAGAAGAAGGACCGGCCAACUACGUGCCAGCCGCCGCAGUAA